This 508-nucleotide long non-coding RNA is filed under the name Priapulus caudatus. RNAcentral's name for it is "uncharacterized LOC106818359, transcript variant X1". The record is from RNAcentral. Lineage: Eukaryota; Metazoa; Priapulida; Priapulimorpha; Priapulimorphida; Priapulidae.
AUGACACACUAUCAAUGACUGAAUGAGAUAAGUAUAUCCGACAAGAAUACCCCGUGCAUUCGUGGAGUUCGCCAGAGGGCAGCACUUGUAGCUGGCAACAUGAUAGCAGCGCCACCUAGGAGCAAUCAGUGACGCAUCUGCAUCGUCCAGUAGCAAGCGUGAUUGCCUUCUAGAAGCUACGGACGCAAUGCAAGACGUGGCGCGACCGUCUCACCCUGACAGAUUUCUCUCGCCAGUGCAACCGCGAGCGUACACAGGAGACUUGGCAUCUCAGCUGUUAUGACGCCGAUGAAGGGCGAAUGCGCGUCAUACCUGAAAAGAAGCAGGUGAGAACAGACAUGAGAAACACACCUGUCGUGAGUAGGAAUUGCGGACGGAUGAUAUGUUCGGCCACCACCGCGCUGCGAGCUAAUGUGUUUACGACACCGUGUGCUGCCGAGAGGUGCUGCCGUGUGCAGACGAACGCAGUUUCCUGUGGUCUAUGACGAGGAGAGAGGAGCGUGGAACA